AACGCUAGCUACAGGCUUAACACAUGCAAGUCGAGGGGAAACGAUAUUGGAAGCUUGCUUCCGAUAGGCGUCGACCGGCGCACGGGUGAGUAACGCGUAUCCAACCUGCCCACCACUUGGGGAUAACCUUGCGAAAGUAAGACUAAUACCCAAUGAUAUCUCUAGAAGACAUCUGAAAGAGAUUAAAGAUUUAUCGGUGAUGGAUGGGGAUGCGUCUGAUUAGCUUGUUGGCGGGGUAACGGCCCACCAAGGCAACGAUCAGUAGGGGUUCUGAGAGGAAGGUCCCCCACAUUGGAACUGAGACACGGUCCAAACUCCUACGGGAGGCAGCAGUGAGGAAUAUUGGUCAAUGGACGGGAGUCUGAACCAGCCAAGUAGCGUGCAGGAAGACGGCCCUAUGGGUUGUAAACUGCUUUUAUAAGGGAAUAAAGUGAGUCUCGUGAGACUUUUUGCAUGUACCUUAUGAAUAAGGACCGGCUAAUUCCGUGCCAGCAGCCGCGGUAAUACGGAAGGUCCGGGCGUUAUCCGGAUUUAUUGGGUUUAAAGGGAGCGUAGGCCGGAGAUUAAGCGUGUUGUGAAAUGUAGAUGCUCAACAUCUGAACUGCAGCGCGAACUGGUUUCCUUGAGUACGCACAAAGUGGGCGGAAUUCGUGGUGUAGCGGUGAAAUGCUUAGAUAUCACGAAGAACUCCGAUUG
This 696-nucleotide ribosomal RNA is filed under the name uncultured bacterium. RNAcentral's name for it is "bacterial SSU rRNA". It matches the Rfam family "Bacterial small subunit ribosomal RNA", at positions 32 to 715 of the family's 1533-position model. The record is from RNAcentral.